CCAAAGGCUCUUUUCAGAGCCACUUAACCAGUCCUUGAAAGAAUUGG
Non-coding RNA from Erinaceus europaeus (western European hedgehog), 47 nucleotides. The record is from Rfam. NCBI's taxonomy places the organism in Eukaryota, Metazoa, Chordata, Mammalia, Eulipotyphla, Erinaceidae.